UAACACUGGGGAACCUGCCCCAUAGUCUGGGAUACCACUUGGAAACAGGUGCUAAUACCGGAUAAGAAAGCGGAUCGCAUGAUCAGCUUUAAAGGCGGCGUAAGCUGUCGCUAUGGGAUGGCCCCGCGGUGCAUUAGCUAGUUGGUAAGGUAAAGGCUUACCAAGGCGAUGAUGCAUAGCCGAGUUGAGAGACUNAUCGGCCACAUUGGGACUGAGACACGGCCCAAACUCCUACGGGAGGCAGCAGGC
RNAcentral lists this ribosomal RNA (249 nucleotides) under uncultured Lactobacillus sp. Its description in RNAcentral is "partial 16S ribosomal RNA". It matches the Rfam family "Bacterial small subunit ribosomal RNA", at positions 111 to 354 of the family's 1533-position model. Lineage: Bacteria; Bacillati; Bacillota; Bacilli; Lactobacillales; Lactobacillaceae. The record is from RNAcentral.